GGGGAUGUAGCUCAGUGGUAGAGUGCUUGCCUAACAUGCUUGAGGCCCUAGGUUUAAUCCCCAACACCACCA
RNAcentral lists this transfer RNA (72 nucleotides) under Ictidomys tridecemlineatus (thirteen-lined ground squirrel). RNAcentral's name for it is "Spermophilus tridecemlineatus (thirteen-lined ground squirrel) tRNA". It matches the Rfam family "tRNA". From Rfam's summary of the family: Transfer RNA (tRNA) molecules are approximately 80 nucleotides in length. Their secondary structure includes four short double-helical elements and three loops (D, anti-codon, and T loops). Lineage: Eukaryota; Metazoa; Chordata; Mammalia; Rodentia; Sciuridae. The record is from Rfam by way of RNAcentral.